This 326-nucleotide ribosomal RNA is filed under the name uncultured eukaryote. RNAcentral describes it as "partial 18S ribosomal RNA". It matches the Rfam family "Eukaryotic small subunit ribosomal RNA", at positions 1470 to 1796 of the family's 1831-position model. The record is from RNAcentral.
CCCUUAGAUGUUCUGGGCCGCACGCGCGCUACACUGAUGCAUUCAACGAGUCUAAAACCUGCUCUGAUAGGGGUGGGUAAUCUUUUGAAUGUGCAUCGUGAUUGGGAUAGAUGAUUGCAAUUUUUCAUCUUCAACGAGGAAUGCCUAGUAAACGCAAGUCAUCAGCUUGCAUUGAUUACGUCCCUGCCCUUUGUGCACACCGCCCGUCGCUCCUACCGAUUGAGUGUUCCGGUGAAUAAUUCGGACUGCGGCUGAUUGGGGACUCUUCAGUCGGCUGUGGAAAGUCUAGUGAACCUUAACACUUAGAGGAAGGAGAAGUCGUAACA